RNAcentral lists this long non-coding RNA (1371 nucleotides) under Lynx pardinus (Iberian lynx). Lineage: Eukaryota; Metazoa; Chordata; Mammalia; Carnivora; Felidae. The record is from RNAcentral.
AGCCAUGUGGGUUACCAAGUUCAAAGGAAAGGAGAAGGAACUGAUGAAAAUAGUGGCUCAUCCAGGACAGUUUUCCUUCUUUGGCUUGUCCCUUGGCUUCUUUGGAGCUCAGGCUCAAAGCCAUGAGCUCUGCAUCAUUCCCUGCCAGUCCCCUGGGCCGAGAGAGGCUCGCUAGGUGUGUGUCUCUGGAGGCCGUGAGGGAACCCCCUCCUCUGUUUCCCUGCUUUGCAGCUCGCCAUUAAGGCCCGUGGGAUCUGACUGCCUUGACACCCGCAUUUGCAUCGUCUCAUCAGGUUUUGACUCGGACUGUAUCUCAGGCCGUGUCUCGGACCGUGCUUCCUCCUGGAGCUCCAGCUUGGUGGCUGGGGUAUCAGGAGUAUCAGGGGUCCACGAGGGCUCAGCACCCCGGGAGCUCUCCCCCUCCUCGUUGAUGACUCCAGAGGACAGGCCCUGUGCCUUGGGCUGCACCCAGCAGUGGCUGAGGAUCUCCUCGAUGUGCAGCCGCCGGUUGAUGUCUGGCUGUAGCAGGUGGUAGAUGAGGUCUUUGCACUCGCCCGUCAGGUUCUUGGAGCGGGGGAAGUUGAUGCGGUGCUCCUUCUGGAUGCGCAGCAUCUUCUUGAUGUUGGAGUCAUCGUAGGGCAUGGAGCCACAGACCAUGAUGUAGAGGAUCACACCCAGACUCCAGAUGUCACACACCUUGGGCUGGUAGGGGAUGCCCUGCAGCACCUCGGGUGCUGCAUAAGCUGCUGACCCGCAGAAAGUCUUGCUUAGCAUCAGUCGGCCACUGUCAUCCCUCGGGCAGCGCUUGGAGAAGCCAAAGUCAGAGAGCUUGAUGUUGAAGUCCUUGUCGAGGAGGAUGUUCUCACACUUGAGAUCUCGGUGGACAAUGUCCAAGUCAUGGCAGUACUUGAUGGCUGAGGAGAGCUGGUGGAACUUCUUGCGAGCAUCAUCCUCGUGCAGGGCUCCCCGGGUUCUGAUGAACCCGAGGAGGUCGCCCUGGACCCCGAGCUCCAUGAUGAUGUAGAUGCGGCCAUCAGAGGUCUCAAAGAUCUCGUAGGUCCUGAUAAUGGAGCGGUGGUUUAGCGUGGCCUGAAUCUCAAUUUCCCGGGGAAGGAAUUUCUCCAAGAAGUCCGUGGGGACUUUCUUGCGGUCGAUGAUCUUGACCGCCACGUUGAACUUCAGGCGCUCAGAGUAAGCAGACUUGACUUUUGCGUAUGAGCCCUCUCCCAAAUUUAUCCCCAGGAUGUAGCCUCGUCGCUUGAGGAUGGCAGCGUCAUCCAUGGUGCCGGGAGCGCCCAGUGCCUCUGAGGCUGCCCUCUACAUCCCUGCGGGACAUGGGCCAGUGGCGUCCUUAUUUACACUGUGGACAGA